GUUAUCAGCACGAGCUAAGCUCAAAACCCUAGCAAAAUUCGUAGGUCACCAAAAAUCUUAAAAACUAGCCGCAUCUUAAAACAGUCAUAUCUCCCUAACCGUAAUGACCUAGACGGCGAGCCACCUAUCAAUCUGAAGAUCUCGACGAAACGAAGCCAGCGCCGCUAACCUCGCGAGGAUCCGAUCUCCGACGCGCCGACACGCUCUGUUUUAGUACGUGCCGUCAAUUGCUCAAGAACCCUAAUUUUGAUGCAACUUCAAAUCGAUCGUUCUCUCAAACCAUAACGAUCCAAACGACGUGCGAUAUACCAAAUUGAAGAUCUUGAAGAGAAGAAUCCAUAGCCGGAAACCUCGCGUCAAUCAGAUCUCAGACGCCCCGCCAAUCUCUGUUUUAGUGCGCGCCGUCAAUUGCACAAAAACCCUAAUUUUGAUUCAACUUCAAAUCGAUCGUUCUCCCAAACCGUAACGAUCCAGAAGACGUGCGAUAUAUCAAUUUGAAGAUCUGGACGAGGAGAAUCCAGCGCCGCAGACCGCGCCGCGAUCAGAUCAUAGACGCGUCCUCACCGCCAUCUACAAGCCGUGCCGUCAAAAGAAAACCUAAGGCUGUUAACUUCUCUUUCUAGUUUGUUUAUAGCCGAUUUAUUAUUUGAUCUUACUAACUUCCUUUCAUCAAUUUGUUUAAGGAAAACAAAGGAUCAAAUCUAAUCAGAUCAAUUGAGGUUGAGAUUUCCAAAGGAACCAAGGAGCAAAUCGAGAUCUAAAAAUUAUAUAUAUAGGAGAUGGUUGAGAGUUGGACGAACCUGGCUUCACAACAACUGCUGGUUUAUCUCCUUUCCCAAGCCUUGAAACAAAAAAUUAUUCUCUGUUGCGCAAUCAGCCUUUGACGUUUACCAACUCCGUAGAUCAUCAAGGGAGACAGGACCAGAGGAUGCACACAUAAGAAUCAUCUGCUGUGGAAUUUGCCACACAUAACAAUCCAUAAUUUUAUCAACUCUUUCACACAUGGGAUCCUUAUCGUAUAAUUUAUUACAAUUCGCAUAACAGGACAGUGGUGGUCUACCUGCCUUUAUGGGAAGAAGUUGCAGCAACGUUUAGGGGCCUCAUCAACUCAAGUGAUAGAACCCAGUCUGUCAUGAUGGUCACAACUGUGAAUCCGAAAUUAUUUGGAGGUUUGUUGUAUUUGAUAACUUGAAACCUGUUUUCAGAAUGAUUUUGUCAAUUCAUAUAUUUAUGGAGUUAAAUAAUCUUCUAGCCUCACAGAAUUUUAUUUCGACAAGAAGUUUGCUUGCAUUUCAGAUGCUUCUGCGACUGCAGCUGCAUAAAAGUGAUGGGAGGUAUUCUUUUUUAAAAAAAUCCUUACAAGAGGAAGACGUGUGUUGUAUCUCAGUUUCAUCCGAGGAAGAUAUACUUUUUGAGAAGGAAAUAUCAGUGUUCUCUGUUGAGAUUGGACAUGGGAGUGUGCUAAUGAAGAAUCCACAUUGGUUUCCUCAGAAAGAGGUGACUAAAACCAACUAACUCCCUUCAGUUGAGAACAAGUCAUUCAUCAGUGAAUCAGUGAUGCAUACUCACAUUCCUUGAAGCGUGUUGAUAUUGGAGAAACAAGAGAAAUUCAGAGUAUGUUGGAAAAGCAAUAAAGCAAGAGCAUCUCAAGAGGAGCAAGACUAAAACUAGAAGAGUGCUUGUCUUCGGAGCCAUAAUUCACCAAUUUGUAGUAUAGAUUUCAAGGAUGUUAUCAGAUUUAACGAGUUCAUGGAACAAUUCACCAAGGAAGAAACUGAUAAAACUACUUCCUCAUUUUGACUUUGUUACCCUCCCUGAUAAGCCUAAUAAGCUGGUACACCUAUCAUUGAGCCUCUCAAGGAUAUUAGAAUCCAAUUACAAUUCCAUAAACAAAAACUCUCCCUCUGAAAUCAGAGCAUCCAAUCAAGUAUCCCACAACAGCAUGAAGUCAGAAAAAGUUAUUAAGAGCAACGAGCUCAUCUAGGUUAGAGGAUGAAUAAUUGUUCUCUUUUUUUCUUUUGAAAUUCUGUUUGUUUAGAUGGUAUUCUUCUUUAUUAUGUUUGACAUACAAAUUUCUUUUUUCUAAUAAUCCAGA
Molecule: long non-coding RNA, 2095 nt
Organism: Raphanus sativus (radish)
Lineage: Eukaryota; Viridiplantae; Streptophyta; Magnoliopsida; Brassicales; Brassicaceae
Exons: 5
Source: RefSeq, a predicted model, not a curated record